Molecule: non-coding RNA, 28 nt
Filed under: Mus musculus (house mouse)
Lineage: Eukaryota; Metazoa; Chordata; Mammalia; Rodentia; Muridae
Source: RNAcentral
UAGUAAUGUCAAAGACAGCGUAUGUGGG